This 563-nucleotide long non-coding RNA is filed under the name Heterocephalus glaber (naked mole-rat). RNAcentral's name for it is "lncRNA (ENSHGLG00000037209.1)". Lineage: Eukaryota; Metazoa; Chordata; Mammalia; Rodentia; Bathyergidae. The record is from RNAcentral.
UCAAAGGAGGCAAGGAAGGUGGCGUGAUGCAGACACGAAAACAUAUUCUUGGAAGAAAAUUAACGUGCCGGCUGAAUUAGUCGCUCUGUUGGUAUUCACUGAGCCAGAGAAAGAAAAAAACAAGGAAGCCAACAAUACAAACAAGGAAGCCAGCCAUAAGAAAGGCAAAGGUGACUUUACGAACCGGUCCUCCCCAUGCGUGUGUUAGUUCUGGAUUAUUAAAUCAAUAUAGAUUUUACACUGGCCCCCUGAAACGCCAACAAUGUGACAUUGAGAAGUCAUGCUUCAUGCUACCGACUGUGGAAGGAAGGAUACAACAUAACUCCAAGUCUGGCACCUUGGCAUCGUUGGAAAGUCAACAUCUGUCAUCCUUUGACGUUUGCUACCCAUCCAACAGAAAGAAGAACCAGGCCUGGGGAUUUAGCUCAGUGGUUCUGCCACCUGCUUUGCAAGGUCCCAAGUUCAAUCCCUGGUACCAAAAAGAAGAAGAAGAAGAAGAACCAGGCUUAUUUUAUCUUUUAUCCUCAGGUAACCCGAACAAUUACUCAAUACAUUCUUAUCUG